AACGAUGGGUCUUGAAGAAACGGAUGGUUGGGAUACUUAGAUCGGCUAAAAUGGACGGUAUGCAUACCAUCAAAAAAAAUACCAUUAUACACGCAUGCAAUCCGAUGACAAUUGGCGCUACAUGGAUCACUAAGGGACCCAUUGCCAUCUUCGCUCCUAUAAGUAGGGUCGGACCUUUUUUUCACUCUUGUUUUGGGCGACGCACUAACAACUGGCACCACACAGCUCAAUAGGGAACCCACCACCAUCUCCUAUAGGGCUGCAUCUUUCGCUCGCUUUGUUUCCCCUCUCAUUUCAGACGGUACAAGAGAGGGAGCAAAUGAGGCACAGGAGGCCCUUCGCUGAAUUGUGGAUGGAAG
This 359-nucleotide long non-coding RNA is filed under the name Elaeis guineensis (African oil palm). Its description in RNAcentral is "long non-coding RNA (EGUI_LNC002759)". Lineage: Eukaryota; Viridiplantae; Streptophyta; Magnoliopsida; Arecales; Arecaceae. The record is from RNAcentral.